AUAUUGUUAUACGGUGUUUAUAUGGUGUUAUAUAGUAUUAUAUAUAGUGUUAUAAUACACUUCUCACACUUCUCACACUUUAGGCCCUUUUUACACUAUCCUUACCCUAUAAUUUCUAAUAGCCACUUCUCAACAUAAAGUAUUUUAGAACUUCAAAAACCAAAUAUUUGUAAUUUGUUUAUUAAUAGUUUCAUGAUCAUCUUUCAAAAAAUACUUACAACACACGUUUGGUAAACCAUAAGAGAGUAGUAAGCAUUAGCACGAGUAUUUUCUCACCUUUAGUGUUUCAUCUUUGUCUCAUUUGUAGCAUACAGUUGUAUCUCAACACCCGAAGAUAUUAACAAGAUGAUGAUAACUCAAAACUUGAAGAAAUUGAUUGUGAUGUUUGUCAUAUCAUCAAUGAUGAUGAUCCAAGUAGUGUGGCGGAUGAUGGUGAAGAUAUUAUGGAGUGUGAUCGGAAGGCAUGUGAUGUCUUGGGGGCUUGACAUGUGGGUGCGGUUCGAGUUGAUGCUUCUCAAGUAUGAGAUGGAAAGCAUUAGUGCAAAUUAUGUCGUUCCGUAUGACUACUAUAAGGCGUUUACCUCUCUAUCGAUCUGGUCGGAGAAGGUGGAUCCAUUUAUGGCUAGUGAUGGAAAGUGGCUUUCGGCAACUAUGUAAUGAUGGCGGUAGUGUAAGGGAAAUGUGAUCUUCAAGCAUUCAAGAAGGCUAGAAGUUUGAAAGAUUUUGCCAUCAUCAUUAACAUUGUUGUAGACUUGAAAACUAUGUAUUGAAUCUAUCUAUUGUAUGGUGAUGAAUGAGUCAUCUCUACUAAUUUGGUUUGGGUUCUACUUGUCUAAUUUGAGUCCAAUCUCACUUGGAACAGAACUCAAAACACUCAAAAUAUAAGUUCCUUCUUUUGUCUUUUAUAUUAUAUAUUUUUUUUUCUUA
This is a long non-coding RNA of Helianthus annuus (common sunflower), 927 nucleotides long. RefSeq lists it as uncharacterized. Lineage: Eukaryota; Viridiplantae; Streptophyta; Magnoliopsida; Asterales; Asteraceae. The transcript has 2 exons. The record is from RefSeq and is a predicted model, not a curated record.